Molecule: ribosomal RNA, 807 nt
Filed under: Enterococcus faecalis
Lineage: Bacteria; Bacillati; Bacillota; Bacilli; Lactobacillales; Enterococcaceae
Description: bacterial SSU rRNA
Rfam family: Bacterial small subunit ribosomal RNA
Source: RNAcentral
UUGAGUGCAGAAGAGAGAGUGGAAUUCCAUGUGUAGCCGUGAAAUGCCGUAGAUAUAUGGAGGAACACCAGUGGCGAAGGCGGCUCUCUGGUCUGUAAACUGACGCUGAAGCCUCGAAAAGCGUGGAGGAGCAAACAGGAUUAGAUAACCUGGUAGUCCACGCCGUAAACGAUGAGUGCUAAGUGUUGGAGGGUUUCCGCCCUUCAAGUGCUGCAGCAAACGCAUUAAAGCACUCCGCCUGGGGAGUGCGACCGCAAGGGUUGAAACUCAAAGGAAUUGACGGGGGCCCGCACAAGCGGUGGAGCAUGUGGUUUAAUUCGAAGCAACGCGAAAGAACCUUACCAGGUCUUGACAUCCUUUGACCACUCUAGAGAUAGAGCUUUCCCUUCGGGGACAAAGUGACAGGUGGUGCAUGGUUGUCGUCAGCUCGUGUCGUGAGAUGUUGGGUUAAGUCCCGCAACGAGCGCAACCCUUAUUGUUAGUUGCCAUCAUUUAGUUGGGCACUCUAGCGAGACUGCCGGUGACAAACCGGAGGAAGGUGGGGACGACUUCAAAUCAUCAUGCCCCUUAUGACCUGGGCUACACACGUGCUACAAUGGGAAGUACAACGAGUCGCUAGACCGCGAGGUCAUGCAAAUCUCUUAAAGCUUCUCUCAGUUCGGAUCCAGGCUGCAACUCGCCUGCAUGAAGCCGGAAUCGCUAGUAAUCGCGGAUCAGCACCCGCGGUGAAUACGUUCCCGGGCCUUGGCACACCACGCGUCACACCACGAGUGUUUGUAUAUACGAAGUCCGCAGAGUUUGUCCGCU